Syngnathus acus (greater pipefish) is the source of this 217-nucleotide small nucleolar RNA. RefSeq annotates it as small nucleolar RNA SNORA73 family. The transcript has a single exon. NCBI's taxonomy places the organism in Eukaryota, Metazoa, Chordata, Actinopteri, Syngnathiformes, Syngnathidae. The record is from RefSeq and is a predicted model, not a curated record.
CUGACGCGGACAUCCAGGGAGUUUCUCCCUGGCUCUGUCGCUGUGGCGUAUGGGAGCGUAGCCUCGUGCUAUGACGUACAUUCCCUUUCCACCGCGUCGCAGAAAGAGUUGCGUCCCCGACUUUUGUCGGUGAGGAUGAACGUCCAGCAUAUUCCUACAACUUCCCAGAGUCCUUUUGGGGCCAUGACUGGGGAGCCAAACCAUGCAGUGCACAUUU